GUGCACUUAUCGGAGCAAAACCUUUCCUGGUUUUAUGCUAACUCUGGAUAACACUGCUUAUCGCAUGACCUCGUGUCGGCGAAGUUACAUUCAAGUAUCUGCCUUAUCAACUAUCGUUGGUAGUGUAUUGGACUACCAUGGUGUUGACGGGUAACGGAGAAUCAGGGUUCGACUCCGGAGAGGGAGCCUUAGAAACGGCUACCAUGUCUAAGGACAGCAGCAGGCGCGCAACUUAUCCACUGUUCAUUGAACGAGAUAGUGACGAGAAAUAACAAGCUCAUUCUCUAUGAGGUUGAGCAUUGGAAUGGACCGAAUCUAAACAAUUCGGUGAGUACCCAUGAGAGGGCAAGUCUGGUGCCAGCAGCCGCGGUAAUUCCAGCUCUCACAAUAUAUAGAAUUAUUGUUGCGGUUAAAAAGUUCGUAGUUGGAUUUUCUACUGCUCGCGGGUCGUGCUUAACGGCGCGCACUCGCGGCAGUAUUUGUGUGCUGUGGGCUUGCCCACCGCACACGGAUUACUUUGAACGGCUUAAGUGCUCAAGGCGAGUCUUCGGACUGAAUACCGGUGCAUGGAAUAAUGGAACAAGGUUUCGGCCGAGUUUUAUUGGUUUUGUCGGCUGAGACAAUGGUUAACAGGAACAGCUGGGGGCACUCGUAUUGCUGCACGAGAGGUGAAAUUCGUGGACUGCAGCAAGACGCCCGAAAGCGAAGGCAUUUGCCAAGAGUGUUUUCAUUAAUCAAGAACGAAAGUCAGAGGUUCGAAGGCGAUUAGAUACCGCCCU
Molecule: ribosomal RNA, 779 nt
Filed under: Aphelenchoides composticola
Lineage: Eukaryota; Metazoa; Nematoda; Chromadorea; Rhabditida; Aphelenchoididae
Description: SSU rRNA
Rfam family: Eukaryotic small subunit ribosomal RNA
Source: RNAcentral